RNAcentral lists this ribosomal RNA (800 nucleotides) under fungal endophyte. RNAcentral describes it as "eukaryotic LSU rRNA". The stretch from base 470 to 800 matches the Rfam family "Eukaryotic large subunit ribosomal RNA", at positions 1 to 329 of the family's 3401-position model. Lineage: Eukaryota; Fungi. The record is from RNAcentral.
CAUUACAAGUGACCCCGGUCUAACCACCGGGAUGUUCAUAACCCUUUGUUGUCCGACUCUGUUGCCUCCGGGGCGACCCUGCCUUCGGGCGGGGGCUCCGGGUGGACACUUCAAACUCUUGCGUAACUUUGCAGUCUGAGUAAACUUAAUUAAUAAAUUAAAACUUUUAACAACGGAUCUCUUGGUUCUGGCAUCGAUGAAGAACGCAGCGAAAUGCGAUAAGUAAUGUGAAUUGCAGAAUUCAGUGAAUCAUCGAAUCUUUGAACGCACAUUGCGCCCCCUGGUAUUCCGGGGGGCAUGCCUGUUCGAGCGUCAUUUCACCACUCAAGCCUCGCUUGGUAUUGGGCAACGCGGUCCGCCGCGUGCCUCAAAUCGACCGGCUGGGUCUUCUGUCCCCUAAGCGUUGUGGAAACUAUUCGCUAAAGGGUGUUCGGGAGGCUACGCCGUAAAACAACCCCAUUUCUAAGGUUGACCUCGGAUCAGGUAGGGAUACCCGCUGAACUUAAGCAUAUCAAUAAGCGGAGGAAAAGAAACCAACAGGGAUUGCUCUAGUAACGGCGAGUGAAGCAGCAAUAGCUCAAAUUUGAAAUCUGGCGUCUUCGACGUCCGAGUUGUAAUUUGUAGAGGAUGCUUCUGAGUAACCACCGACCUAAGUUCCUUGGAACAGGACGUCAUAGAGGGUGAGAAUCCCGUAUGCGGUCGGAAAGGUGCUCUAUACGUAGCUCCUUCGACGAGUCGAGUUGUUUGGGAAUGCAGCUCUAAAUGGGAGGUAAAUUUCUUCUAAAGCUAAAUAUUGGGCC